CGGGGAGGAGGCUGGGGCCAAGGGGUUCUCAGGGCAGGUGAUGCGGAGCCCACCCUGGGGCGGCUGCAUCCAGUGGGGUUCCCAAACACAAGGGCACCGCACUGAGGUCUGGUGUGUGGGCGUGAGGCUUCUGUAAGGGGGCGGUGGGGCAGGGUGGGCUGAGCGCUGUGCUCCAAGGGGGGAGAAUCUGCCGCUGCCCUGCUGAGCUGCUGAGCUGCCUCUUCCCCUCUGCAGGGCAAAACCUGGGCUUCCUCCUGGAAAUCCCGCAGGAUGCAGUCACUGGCACCGUGGGGCAGUCCGUGCUCCUGCCCGUCUCCUACAGAUGCAACAGCACCUCUUGCUUCCCACUGUCAAUUAGGUGGAUGUUUGGUCACACCUCACAAGUAAUCAUCGCCUGCACAGUGCAGAACUGCUCCCUGGAUGAUGGGGGGGCUCCCAAGAACUGCUCCACAAUCUGUUUCCUCCAUCCUGCACAUUGGGGCCGUACUGAGCUCUUCCCCGAGAACGCAUCCCUGCUGCUGCGGGACCUGUGGCUCAGUGACAGCGGGGUGUACACCGUCAGCCUCCAGCACCAAAGACAAAUCAGGAACAUCACCCUGGCCGUGCUCCAGCAGCCUGUCACCCCAGACCAUUCCAGUGAAGGGAGAAACCUGGGCUUCCUCCUGGAAAUCCCGCAGGAUGCAGUCACUGGCACCGUGGGGCAGUCCGUGCUCCUGCCCGUCUCCUACAGAUGCAACAGCACCCCUUGCUUCCCAGUGGCAAUUCAGUGGCUGUUUAGUCAGCCCUUAGAAACAAUCAUCGCCUGCACAGUGCAGAACUGCUCCCUGGGUGAUGGGGGGGCUCCCAAGAACUGCUCCACAAACUGUUACCCCUAUCCUACACAUUGGGGCCGUGUUGAGCUCUUCCCCGAGAACGCAUCCCUGCUGCUGCGGGACCUGCGGAUCAGUGACAGCGGGGUGUACACCGUCAGCUUCCUACAGCACCAAAGACAAAGCAGGCACAUCACCCUGACCGUGCUUGAGCAACCUGUCACCCCAGACCACUCCAGCAACAGUAAGUGUCCCUGUGCUGCCCUGGCAG
RNAcentral lists this long non-coding RNA (1080 nucleotides) under Anas platyrhynchos platyrhynchos (common mallard). Its description in RNAcentral is "lncRNA (ENSAPLG00000012482.2)". The record is from RNAcentral. Lineage: Eukaryota; Metazoa; Chordata; Aves; Anseriformes; Anatidae.